This is a long non-coding RNA of Olea europaea var. sylvestris, 1994 nucleotides long. RefSeq lists it as uncharacterized. NCBI's taxonomy places the organism in Eukaryota, Viridiplantae, Streptophyta, Magnoliopsida, Lamiales, Oleaceae. The transcript has 2 exons. The record is from RefSeq and is a predicted model, not a curated record.
GUUCAUACUUUGCCAACGUUUUUGGAUAAGUUCACAGUAUUUUAGAAUGAAAGUUUUGGAAAAUUCUUGUUAGAAUGAAAAAACAAGGAUAUUGGAGCUAAGUCAAGACAUGUUUCAAAGUUGAUAUUACUUUCAAAAAAUUUUCAUGACUACAUACACAUAUGCUCAUGAAAACAUUUUUUGGCAUGAAAAUCAAGUAGAGAUUUGAGGUAGGUCAGAUUAAGCUAACAAAGUGUGGUAAAGAAAAAAUUUUCCCUACUGGUAUUCAAGGCACGAUACCUGGGCUAUGGUCCAGGCGCGCGCCUGGUGCUCAAAUAAGGCUACCUGAAGCAACCUUAACAGGUGAGUCCCAUCUCUCACCUUACAAUGGGCGCACAUCUCAUACCGAGUGGGGAGUGGGGAGUUUUAAAACUCCUCAACCUGGAUACACGAUCUCCAUUUCCCACAAAAUCGAAAACCCUACUCCCAUUCCUCCAAAUCUUCACCAAAAUACAUUAAUUCACUUGAGAUUCUCACUUGGGCAUACACUAUCAAGGGCAUUAGCACAAUAUAUCACAAGAUUUCGCUCUUCUAAUUCCUUCACCUCAAGAAAAUCAAGGAUGUUACCAAGAUGACAACGUGAGGCCUCUACAUCUAAAGGAAAAGAAAAGGCUGACGCACCUAACAUCUCAGCAUGUACAUGUGCCGACGAAUAUGGCACGAAACGUUUCCUUAGUGCGAAUCAAAAAAAGUUAUUAAAUCGGGUAAUGAUGACGAGAAAACUGUGGUUGAAGAAACGAUUAUUCUAAGAGACUAAGUAGGAUAUGAGAUAACUACUCUCAUAGGCAAAACAAAUUGGACAGGCGUGAUCAAUAAACCAUAUAAGGUAUUUUCCACAGUGGUUCAAGAGUUUUAUACAAGCUUCAACCACCAGAUUGAUGAUUAAGAAACAGAGCAUGAUUACUACACAUGGAUCAGGGACAAGUGGGUGAUGUUCACACUCGAGGUGAUUGAUCAAUACUAUGGUUUGACUCAGGAGAACAUCAUCCCAGUACCUAUAGAGCAGGAUAUGGUUCUCAUAGUUCAGAUGCCCUACAAGGGACAGGAAAAUGUAGGGGAGGAGUUUGAAUAUAAGAAGUUGACCCAUUCCUUACAAUGCUGAUGAAACUCAUCUGCCACAACAUUGAGUCUAUCUCAUAUAUGUCUACUUUCAACUGUGCCAAGAUAUUUUUUCUACCCUCAUCUGUGGGAUAUGCAUAAAUUCAGAGGUAAGACUUCUCCCACCAAAGCAGUCGGCUCCAUCCAGUAUCCAUAUCAACCGUAAUAUGACGAAAAACUCUUGGCACACUCCUUCAGAGUAGAUAUCACCAGCAACUGGAGGAAGCCAUGGGCCCACAGCCUCGCAUCCAAACCUUUUCGUUGACACCCUACUCCUGCGACAAUUACUUGCAAGAUUGACUGAGAGCAUCCAAGGCAUGUUACGGAUAGACUAGUUGCUUGGGUCCUUGGAUUUGAGAGUUGGUCACACUGAGAUCCGCACUACUAUUAUACAUGAUCAUGUGAUGUUAGUACAAAAGGAUGUUUCCAAUGUAAACAAGUGGAUCAUCAUGGUCAUCAAAAGGGUAGAUUGAUAUGUCAGAUGGAAUUCUAAGCUUAAUAUCUGAAUUGAUGAUAGCUUUGAUAUAAUGAGCGACAUCCAGACCGAAAUGGACCAGCAGUCUACUUGGUUGAGAGAGAAAUUCUCGUACACUUGCAUCCACAUCCUCCUCCAUCUUCUUCAGAUUCAACGGAUUUUGGGGCUUAUAUACCAUUUCCACGACCGACUACGUCAGAUUGACCGGGGAGUAUCUAUGUCCCCUCUUUGCCCUUCUUUUUGUAUUUUACUAUCAUAUUUUUGUAUAUUGAAGGCAAUGCACGUGUUAAGUUUGGAGGUAGCUGAUUGACUCAUCAUUGAUUGUUAUAUAAAGUUAACUACUUUUGUAUGAUUAUCGAAAGUUAAAAAAGACAUUUUCUUU